This 468-nucleotide ribosomal RNA is filed under the name Escherichia coli. RNAcentral describes it as "bacterial SSU rRNA". It matches the Rfam family "Bacterial small subunit ribosomal RNA", at positions 142 to 603 of the family's 1533-position model. The record is from RNAcentral. Lineage: Bacteria; Pseudomonadati; Pseudomonadota; Gammaproteobacteria; Enterobacterales; Enterobacteriaceae.
GAUAACUACUGGAAACGGUAGCUAAUACCGCAUAACGUCGCAAGACCAAAGAGGGGGACCUUCGGGCCUCUUGCCAUCGGAUGUGCCCAGAUGGGAUUAGCUUGUUGGUGGGGUAACGGCUCACCAAGGCGACGAUCCCUAGCUGGUCUGAGAGGAUGACCAGCCACACUGGAACUGAGACACGGUCCAGACUCCUACGGGAGGCAGCAGUGGGGAAUAUUGCACAAUGGGCGCAAGCCUGAUGCAGCCAUGCCGCGUGUAUGAAGAAGGACCUUCGGGUUGUAAAGUACUUUCAGCGGGGAGGAAGGGAGUAAAGUUAAUACCUUUGCUCAUUGACGUUACCCGCAGAAGAAGCACCGGCUAACUCCGUGCCAGCAGCCGCGGUAAUACGGAGAGGUGCAAGCGUUAAUCGGAAUUACUGGGCGUAAAGCGCACGCAGGCGGUUUGUUAAGUCAGAUGUGAAAUCCC